RNAcentral lists this ribosomal RNA (200 nucleotides) under uncultured bacterium. Its description in RNAcentral is "partial 16S ribosomal RNA". It matches the Rfam family "Bacterial small subunit ribosomal RNA", at positions 8 to 214 of the family's 1533-position model. The record is from RNAcentral.
AGAGUUUGAUCCUGGCUCAGGACGAACGCUGGCGGCGUGCCUAAUACAUGCAAGUCGCGCGGGCUACUUCGGUAGCUAGCGGCGGACGGGUGAGUAACACGUGGGCAAUCUGCCUGUCAGACCGGAAUAACGCCUGGAAACGGGUGCUAAUGCCGGAUAGAUAACUCGGUGGCAUCACUGAGUUGGGAAAGGCGCUUUAG